GAUAAACGCUGGCGGCGUGCAUGAGACAUGCAAGUCGAACGAGUGACCCCGGGCUUGCCUGGAGUCGCUAGUGGCGAACGGCUGAGUAACGCGUGGGUGACCUGCCCUGAAGUGGGGAAUAACUGCCCGAAAGGGUGGCUAAUACCGCAUGUGGUGACACGUUCGUUCGUGUGACCAAAGCCGCAAGGCGCUUCGGGAGGGGCCCGCGUCCGAUUAGCUCGUUGGUGGGGUAACGGCUCACCAAGGCGACGAUCGGUAGGUGGUCUGAGAGGACGAUCACCCAGACUGGGACUGAGACACGGCCCAGACUCCUACGGGAGGGCAGCAGUCGGGAAUUUUGCUCAAUGGGCGCAAGCCUGAAGCAGCAACGCCGCGUGAGGGAUGAAGUAUUUC
Molecule: ribosomal RNA, 393 nt
Filed under: uncultured bacterium
Lineage: Bacteria
Description: bacterial SSU rRNA
Rfam family: Bacterial small subunit ribosomal RNA
Source: RNAcentral